UACGGAGGGUGCGAGCGUUGUUCGGAAUCACUGGGCGUAAAGCGCGUGCAGGCGGCUCGCUAAGUCUGGUGUGAAAGCCCGGGGCUCACCCCCGGAAGUGCACUGGAAACUGGCGAGCUCGAGUCCCGGAGAGGAGGGUGGAAUUCCUGGUGUAGCGGUGAAAUGCGUAGAUAUCAGGAGGAACACCGGUGGCGAAGGCGGCCCUCUGGACGGUGACUGACGCUGAGACGCGAAAGCGUGGGGAGCAAACAGG
RNAcentral lists this ribosomal RNA (253 nucleotides) under uncultured bacterium. RNAcentral describes it as "partial 16S ribosomal RNA". It matches the Rfam family "Bacterial small subunit ribosomal RNA", at positions 524 to 776 of the family's 1533-position model. The record is from RNAcentral.